GGUGCCAGCAGCCGCGGUAACACCGGCAGCUCUAGUGGUAGCUGUUUUAUUGGGCCUAAAGCGUUCGUAGCCGGUUUAAUAAGUCUCUGGUGAAAUCCUAUAGCUUAACUGUGGGAAUUGCUGGAGAUACUAUUAGACUUGAGAUCGGGAGAGGUCAGAGGUACUCCUGGGGUAGGGGUGAAAUCCUGUAAUCCUAGGAGGACCACCUGUGGCGAAGGCGUCUGACUAGAACGAAUCUGACGGUGAGGAACGAAAGCUAGGGGCGCGAACCGGAUUAGAUACCCGGGUAGUCCUAGCCGUAAACUAUGCGGACUUGGUGUGAGGGUGGCUUUGAGCCGUCCUGGUGCCGAAGGGAAGCUGUUAAGUCCGCCGCCUGGGAAGUACGGUCGCAAGACUGGAACUUAAAGGAAUUGGCGGGGGAGCACCACAACGCGUGGAGCCUGCGGUUUAAUUGGAUUCAACGCCGGAGAUCUCACCAGCGGCGACAGCAGUAUGAUGACCAGGUUGAUGACUUUGUUUGACAAGCUGAGAAGAGGUGCAUGG
RNAcentral lists this ribosomal RNA (543 nucleotides) under uncultured archaeon. RNAcentral's name for it is "bacterial SSU rRNA". It matches the Rfam family "Archaeal small subunit ribosomal RNA", at positions 454 to 997 of the family's 1478-position model. The record is from RNAcentral.